CCUUGAGCUCACUUUGUAGCCCAGGCUGGUCUCAAAUUCACAGUGAUCCUCCUGCCUCAGCCUCCUGAGUGCUGGGAU
MicroRNA precursor from Chinchilla lanigera (long-tailed chinchilla), 78 nucleotides. Lineage: Eukaryota; Metazoa; Chordata; Mammalia; Rodentia; Chinchillidae. The record is from Ensembl.